Molecule: long non-coding RNA, 1067 nt
Organism: Bos taurus (domestic cattle)
Lineage: Eukaryota; Metazoa; Chordata; Mammalia; Artiodactyla; Bovidae
Source: Ensembl
CCUUUACUUGAAGACUUUGAGGAUAUUCCUUAAGGGUGAGGAGAUUUACACCCAGGGUCUAGCAACUGAGGUAGCCAAGUGAUAUUCAGGGGAUCAGCCUGCAUUUUUGCUUCCCAAGAGCUGUUGUGUGUACCAAAUAUUUAUAAAUAAUGCCAGCUAUGGUGAUCCCCCAUCCUGCUGAGGGCCAGCUGCUCCUCCAAGUCUUCAUACAGGAGACUGGGGUUCAGACACCUGAUGUGGUCUGCCUAAGGCCAUUCAUUAGUACGGAGACCCCAGAGACUGGCCGGGUUUGGAAGGUGUGUGGGGAGAAUGGUACUUUCCAGGUUUCCUCAAUAUCUGGAGACCGCAGGAAACCCAAGAGAUGGGAGGCAUUAAGCUUGCAUUAAGAAAGAUGCUUCCUACAGUUGGAACUUUCCUUAAGCAGUGACUUCCCCCUCCAACAAGAUUGCUGGCCAGCGUCUGGCUGGUCAGUGUGAGGGGUGCACAACGAGUAGAAUUAACUGAAGGCUGGACUUUCAGAGCCCCUGAAUCUGAAAGUGACUGGUCUCUGUCAGCUGUGAGCUCUGUGAGACCAGGCACCAGUCUGCUUUGCUCAUCACCUGUCUCCAACACCUGGCAAAAGAAUAGCUGCACCAGGUGUACCUGCUACAUUCAUUAACUGGCAAAGCCUCGAGGCAAUGAGGCCCAGGAGAGACGAUUUUGAGAGAUGAAUGGCUAACCUGCCCCUGCUGACAGCCUCGCCCUGGUGGAGAGCAGCUCUGGAUCAAGAGGGGCUGAAGGAGGAGCCAGCUCAAUCAAGAAACCAACAGACAGUAGUUUCUAUGUUCCAGAAGCCCUUCCCUGGGGUCUUCUCCGAUGUGCACUGUUCGCUGCUACAGAUUGUCCUUGCGGCUCUGAGGCCCCUCCUUGAGUCUCCAGGCCCCAGUGCAAUGUCAGGAAGAAAAGCUGAGCCCCUCUGUCCUGAUGUCCAAUCCUGGCUCCUCUCAUACAUGUCCUGGGUGUCCCCUAUGAUGUCCUUGACCCUGGGGCAGAUGGUCUCUACACAACUAUGCAGUAAACCUCUGAGU